GGCUUGUAGCUCAGUGGUAGAGCACGUGCCUAGCGUUUGUGAGGUACUGGGUUCAAUUCUCAGCACCA
Molecule: transfer RNA, 68 nt
Filed under: Marmota monax (woodchuck)
Lineage: Eukaryota; Metazoa; Chordata; Mammalia; Rodentia; Sciuridae
Description: tRNA.Ala
Source: RNAcentral